AGACGGUCAGGGCAGGACCAGGCGUUUAUCUGUGCCGGGGAAGGGAGCACCGCAGGCCUCCCUGUGCGGUGGGGAAUGAAAAGUGGCGGCGCUUGCAGGGGCUCUCCGGUCCCGGGGUGAACCUGGACGCCCUCUGUGUCUCUCGCUGAGCUCACCUUAUUCCCUGCUGUGGCUCUUCUCCCUGAGCUUUAAGCCCCUGCUAAGUACAUGAAGACCAGUGGUUCGUGAGCGGAGUUCAAAACCCUGUGGGAAGCCCGGUUUACUGAGAGAGGCAGCUUAGAUGACUUUCCUGACUGGAACAGAUACAGCUGCAGUGUGAGUGGAGAGUUAUCCUCGUAUGGCUGCAAGCACGCAAUGCUGAUGUGGAAGUUAAGUGUCCUCAGCCACCCCGUCUCUCCCUGCAGUAAAAGUCACCCCGUGGAUGGAGAGUCCAGGAGUGCAGAGCUAUGGCUGCACUAAUGUUGCUCGCAGUUGUGUUGCUGCAACAAGGCCGGUACAGUUGUGAGUGCUAGAACACAGGCCUAAAUAGCUAGAAAACUCUUGGCUGGGAAGAGAAAGUCCUGUUUCACCCCUUGAAUUAUCACUGCAGGGUAGUUUAUGACAGAAAGCAAAGCUCACUGUGGUCUAUAGAAAUGACACUGACAGUCUGGUAAAUAUGAGUUUUAUCAGACAAACUGAGCUAUGUGGUGACAAAUGUCGUCAGCUACUAUGCCCUGCAGCACUAAAAUGUUAGCUCCCUUUCCCAUCCUGCUAAGUUUGUUCUUCCUUGGCUCUUGUAAGCAGAAAUCAUUACAUUUAGCAAGUUGACAUACCUGCUUUUUAAAAACAUACUUUCUAAUGUUGACUUCAGACUUUGUACCAGAGGUGUUUGCAUUGCUGAAAAAUUGAAAAAGCAAAUGAAAAGACUAAGAAAAUAUUUUCUGAAAUGUUUAAAAUGUAAUUUUUCCAUAAGAGUCAAUGUUCCACUGAAUAGUUAUGUAACAAUACGUAAAUGCAGUCUUUUCAUGUUAGGCGUAAUGGAUACAGUGUGAAGCUACAUCAAAAGAUAAAAACAUAUUACCAUGAAACAAACCCCUUGUGAGUCCUGUGAUUCUUAGGAAAUCAUGUUUGGCUGAAACUUAAUUUCUUUUAACUUUUGUUACAAAGUCAAAAGCAAAAAAUUAAAAGCGCCAAGUAGACAUACAUCUCCUCAUGCCUGAAGGUCAACUUCCACAUCUCGGUGUCUUUUAAGAGUGUUAGACCAAGUUCCAGCAGGGAUUCACUCUCUGCUAGAUCUCCAAUCCUCUCAAGAGCAUUAGGCUUAGUGCCAGCAUUCGUUUACUCUUGUAACAGCUUAAAUUAACUCUUGUUACAUUCUAUCUAAACCCUUUCUUACAGAAUAAGAGUUGAGAGCUGGAUUCAGUCCCCUAGUUUGAGGGCCACCCAUCAUGCUAGUCUGUCUUUCAGGAUUUCAAAUGCUGCAUAAGCUGGACUGGGGAAGGCAAUGAUCAGCCAGUGGUAAAUUGAAGGAGGGGCUGGCGAGCCAUCUUUUGUAUGCAUGUCCCUGUUUCCUGAGAAAUAGUGUGGGGGUGGUCUGGUUUAUUUACCAUAAGUACAUGUGACAGUAAGCUCCAGCCAAAUGCAGGAUUUGAGUAGGCUAGGCACUGUGCUAACAGUAUUUUCAUACUUUCCUGGAGGAGCUGAACAGACAAGCUAAUUGAAAGACAGGAAGUAUCACUGCUUGGUUUUAUAGGUCAAGAACUGAACUGUAGAUUAUAUUUUACCCAAAGUCAGAUAGAAGACUGAAAUGAAAUGCCUCACAAAACCAGGCCCUCUUUAGCCCCUUCAAAAUUACAUCGGUCCUCUUAAGAAUAUCACUUAUAUUUUGCUUUAACGGACAUGAGAGCAAUCUGUCUGACUGUGAUUACAAGGCAAACACUCUGAAGCAGGUAAGGAUAUAAGCACAAGGAGGGCAAGUUUUGCUAAAAGUGGUAACACAAAAUAAUCUUAGCACACUUAGAAAAGUGCAGGGUAAUUGGAUAGAACUGGACAGUCAUUAAAGUUGGUCAGUUGAUACCUUGAUCUCUAUCCAGAGUCUCUAAAGUCCUGGUCUUCACUAGAUGAAGUACCAAGGUCUUCAUUAGUUGGCUUCAGGGAUUUCCAGAGCUGUUUUGUAUUCUAGAAAGACCAUUAUAUGUAGAAUAUUUAGAACCUUUAAAGGUAAUCUACUCCCUACCACCCUCCCCUCCAAUGAGCAGGAACAUAUUCAGCUAGGUCAUGUUGCUCAGAGCCCUUUUCAACCUUACCUUGAGUAUUUACAUAAUUUCUACCCAUCUCACUCCAUGAGAAAAAAAUCCCAAACAAACAAUAAAUAGAGGAGAGAUCAGUUUCAAGGAAGCUGAAAUACCUUUCUCUGAUGAAGAAGUUUUAAGAUGACAAUGUGCUGUUAGUUUAUAGAAAGUCCAGUUGUUCUGUAUGCUUUUGAGAUGGUGGAAAUGGAAUUAUCAGAGAAUCAACAUUCAUCCACUAGUAAAACUGAAAAUAAAUGUGAACAUUUUGUGCCUAGAUAACACUGUUCUGUCAUAAAUAAGAGUUCACAGCCAUCUUUGCAUUUAGGAGUACGCUAUAAAUAUAGCUUAUCUUCAAGUAUUUUCAGCUUGCUGGAGUUACUUGAAAGCUUAUCAUGAUAGAGUCCAUUUAAAAGGAAAAGAAUUAAAAUUUAUCUAAGAUAUGUGUCCCCAAAUACCUCUCAUAGCAUUCAUUUAUACUGACCUUUCUAACGUACUAUCUUCCCACAGUCCUUGUAUAUAGUUAGCUGAAAAAACACCUUACUGGCAUUUAUAAAAAGUUCCCUCAAACUUCAGAAUUACUUUUUUUCAGUCAAGUUUAAAAAUCAGAGAAAAAAGUUAAAAGCAAAAUUCUUACUUUAAAAAAAAAAUAAAUUUGAGAGUGGAAAAUACCAGUAAUGUAAUUGCAAAGAUUUUAAAAUACAGUUUCUAAGUUGUCAGCGACCUUUUUCUGAUAAAUAUUUGAUUCAUAAAAGAAAUGUUACAAAGAGUUUUGAAACACUGCUUUUAUGUGAAUAAAAAAUGCAGGUCAAAA
This is a long non-coding RNA of Empidonax traillii (willow flycatcher), 3081 nucleotides long. RefSeq lists it as uncharacterized. Lineage: Eukaryota; Metazoa; Chordata; Aves; Passeriformes; Tyrannidae. The transcript is spliced from 2 exons. The record is from RefSeq and is a predicted model, not a curated record.